AGAGUUUGAUCCUGGCUCAGAAUCAACGCUGGCGGCGUGCCUAACACAUGCAAGUCGAACGCGAAAGUCCCGCAAGGGAUAAGUAGAGUGGCAAACGGGUGAGUAACACAUGGGUGACCUGCCUUCGAGCGGGGGAUAACGUCCCGAAAGGGACGCUAAUACCGCAUAACAUCCUGCCUUUGAAGAGGUGGAGAUCAAAGCUGGGGAUCGCAAGACCCGGCACUUGAAGAGGGGCCCGCGUCUGAUUAGCUAGUUGGUGGGGUAAUGGCCUACCAAGGCAACGAUCAGUAUCCGGCCUGAGAGGGCGGACGGACACACUGGGACUGAGACACGGCCCAGACUCCUACGGGAGGCAGCAGUGGGGAAUUGUUCGCAAUGGGCGCAAGCCUGACGACGCAACGCCGCGUGGAGGAUGAAGAUUUUCGGAUCGUAAACUCCUGUCGAAUGGGACGAAAAAAUUGCGGGUUAACAGCCCGUGGUUCUGACGGUACCGUAAAGA
Molecule: ribosomal RNA, 499 nt
Filed under: uncultured Acidobacteriaceae bacterium
Lineage: Bacteria; Pseudomonadati; Acidobacteriota; Terriglobia; Terriglobales; Acidobacteriaceae
Description: bacterial SSU rRNA
Rfam family: Bacterial small subunit ribosomal RNA
Source: RNAcentral